Molecule: ribosomal RNA, 597 nt
Filed under: Lacticaseibacillus paracasei
Lineage: Bacteria; Bacillati; Bacillota; Bacilli; Lactobacillales; Lactobacillaceae
Description: bacterial SSU rRNA
Rfam family: Bacterial small subunit ribosomal RNA
Source: RNAcentral
CAAUGGACGCAAGUCUGAUGGAGCAACGCCGCGUGAGUGAAGAAGGCUUUCGGGUCGUAAAACUCUGUUGUUGGAGAAGAAUGGUCGGCAGAGUAACUGUUGCCGGCGUGACGGUAUCCAACCAGAAAGCCACGGCUAACUACGUGCCAGCAGCCGCGGUAAUACGUAGGUGGCAAGCGUUAUCCGGAUUUAUUGGGCGUAAGGCGAGCGCAGGCGGUUUUUUAAGUCUGAUGUGAAAGCCCUCGGCUUAACCGAGGAAGCGCAUCGGAAACUGGGAAACUUGAGUGCAGAAGAGGACAGUGGAACUCCAUGUGUAGCGGUGAAAUGCGUAGAUAUAUGGAAGAACACCAGUGGCGAAGGCGGCUGUCUGGUCUGUAACUGACGCUGAGGCUCGAAAGCAUGGGUAGCGAACAGGAUUAGAUACCCUGGUAGUCCAUGCCGUAAACGAUGAAUGCUAGGUGUUGGAGGGUUUCCGCCCUUCAGUGCCGCAGCUAACGCAUUAAGCAUUCCGCCUGGGGAGUACGACCGCAAGGUUGAAACUCAAAGGAAUUGACGGGGGCCCGCACAACGGUGGAGCAUGUGGUUUAAUUCGAAGCA